GAUAAACGCUGGCGGCGUGCCUAAUACAUGCAAGUCGAGCGAACAGACGAGGAGCUUGCUCCUCUGACGUUAGCGGCGGACGGGUGAGUAACACGUGGAUAACCUACCUAUAAGACUGGGAUAACUUCGGGAAACCGGAGCUAAUACCGGAUAAUAUAUUGAACCGCAUGGUUCAAUAGUGAAAGACGGUUUUGCUGUCACUUAUAGAUGGAUCCGCGCCGCAUUAGCUAGUUGGUAAGGUAACGGCUUACCAAGGCAACGAUGCGUAGCCGACCUGAGAGGGUGAUCGGCCACACUGGAACUGAGACACGGUCCAGACUCCUACGGGAGGCAGCAGUAGGGAAUCUUCCGCAAUGGGCGAAAGCCUGACGGAGCAACGCCGCGUGAGUGAUGAAGGUCUUCGGAUCGUAAAACUCUGUUAUUAGGGAAGAACAAAUGUGUAAGUAACUAUGCACGUCUUGACGGUACCUAAUCAGAAAGCCACGGCUAACUACGU
Molecule: ribosomal RNA, 496 nt
Filed under: uncultured bacterium
Lineage: Bacteria
Description: partial 16S ribosomal RNA
Rfam family: Bacterial small subunit ribosomal RNA
Source: RNAcentral